This 277-nucleotide long non-coding RNA is filed under the name Lathyrus oleraceus (garden pea). RNAcentral describes it as "Pisum sativum (pea) long non-coding RNA (PSAT_LNC010337)". Lineage: Eukaryota; Viridiplantae; Streptophyta; Magnoliopsida; Fabales; Fabaceae. The record is from RNAcentral.
UUGUGAUCUUGCUAUGUUUGUGAAAUUGAUGGUUGAUACACGAACUUCUUGUUGUAUUAGAAGUUGUGGUGGAUUGUUAGAGUUAAUAUGAUGAAUGAUGUUAAGAAAUGAAUAAACAUGUUUGUGCAUCAUUGUAUGGUGUUAAUUAUGAUAUACGAUGUUAAGGUAUGUUGGUUCAUAUUUUGGAAUGGAUGGAAGUGGGAAAAUUGUGAUUAGAACCAUGAAGAUUUGAAGAAAUUCAUGUAAAUAUCCAUGAUGAAUAAUUAUGUGAUUUUAC